GGGAAUUUUGGACAAUGGGGGCAACCCUGAUCCAGCCAUGCCGCGUGAGUGAAGAAGGCCUUCGGGUUGUAAAGCUCUUUCGCGAGGGAAGAAAACUUACUCAAUAACACUGGGUGAGGAUGACGGUACCUUGAUAAGAAGCACCGGCUAACUACGUGCCAGCAGCCGCGGUAAUACGUAGGGUGCGAGCGUUAAUCGGAAUUACUGGGCGUAAAGCGUGCGCAGGCGGUUUGACAAGUCAGAUGUGAAAGCCCCGGGCUCAACCUGGGAACUGCGUUUGAAACUGUCAGGCUAGAGUGUGUCAGAGGGAGGUAGAAUUCCACGUGUAGCAGUGAAAUGCGUAGAGAUGUGGAGGAACACCGAUGGCGAAGGCAGCCUCCUGGGAUAACACUGACGCUCAUGCACGAAAGCGUGGGGAGCAAACAGGAUUAGA
Molecule: ribosomal RNA, 433 nt
Filed under: uncultured bacterium
Lineage: Bacteria
Description: bacterial SSU rRNA
Rfam family: Bacterial small subunit ribosomal RNA
Source: RNAcentral